GUGCUUGCUUCAGCAGCACAUAUACUAAAAUUAGAAUAAUAUAGAGAUUAACAUGGCUCCUGCGCAAGGAUAACAUGCAAACUCGUGAAGCGUUCCAUAUUUAU
Small nuclear RNA from Suncus etruscus (white-toothed pygmy shrew), 104 nucleotides. NCBI's taxonomy places the organism in Eukaryota, Metazoa, Chordata, Mammalia, Eulipotyphla, Soricidae. The record is from RefSeq and is a predicted model, not a curated record.